RNAcentral lists this unclassified non-coding RNA (205 nucleotides) under uncultured Lachnocladiaceae. RNAcentral's name for it is "sequence contains ITS2". The record is from RNAcentral. Lineage: Eukaryota; Fungi; Basidiomycota; Agaricomycetes; Russulales; Lachnocladiaceae.
AUUACUACUCCAUACAAAUCCUUUAUAAAAGGAGAUGUAGUGGGAUUUGGGAGAUUGCAGCUCAUAACUGCUCUCCUUAAAUAAAUUAGCAGGGAUUAUUAUCAGAGAUCCUUUUCGGUUGAUGUGAUAGUUAUCUCCUCUCAACCUUUCUUUGUAUAUUCCUAUCUGCUUCAAAUAGUCUUUUGUAAAGAAGACAAAUUGAAAC